RNAcentral lists this ribosomal RNA (500 nucleotides) under uncultured bacterium. RNAcentral's name for it is "bacterial SSU rRNA". It matches the Rfam family "Bacterial small subunit ribosomal RNA", at positions 10 to 507 of the family's 1533-position model. The record is from RNAcentral.
AGUUUGAUCAUGGACUCAGGAUUAACGCUGGCGGUAUGCCUAACACAUGCAAGUCGAACGGAAUACUAAUUUAAGAGAAUCUCACACUAGUGAGAGGUUCUCACGAGUAGUAUUUAGUGGCGGACGGGUGAGUAACACGUUGGAACCUGCCCCGAAGUGGGGAAUAACUGCUCGAAAGAGUAGCUAAUACCCCAUAGUAUCCGGUUUAUCCGGAUUAAAGAUUUAUCGCUUCGGGAGGGGCCUGCGUCUGAUUAGCUAGUUGGUGAGGUAAAAGCUCACCAAGGCGACGAUCAGUAGCUGGUUCGAGAGGAUGACCAGCCACACUGGGACUGAGAUACGGCCCAGACUCCUACGGGAGGCAGCAGUGAGGAAUCUUCCACAAUGGGCGCAAGCCUGAUGGAGCAAUACCGCGUGCAGGAAGACGCUUUUCGGAGUGUAAACUGCUUUUGUCGUCGAAGAUUAUGACUGUAGACGAAGAAUAAGGACCGGCUAACUACGUG